AACGCUAGCUACAGGCUUAACACAUGCAAGUCGAGGGGCAGCAUGAACUUAGCUUGCUAAGUUUGAUGGCGACCGGCGCACGGGUGAGUAACACGUAUCCAACCUGCCGAUGACUCGGGGAUAGCCUUUCGAAAGAAAGAUUAGUACCCGAUGGCAUAGUUCUUCCGCAUGGUAGAACUAUUAAAGAAUUUCGGUCAUCGAUGGGGAUGCGUUCCAUUAGGUUGUUGGCGGGGUAACGGCCCACCAAGCCUUCGAUGGAUAGGGGUUCUGAGAGGAAGGUCCCCCACAUUGGAACUGAGACACGGUCCAAACUCCUACGGGAGGCAGCAGUGAGGAAUAUUGGUCAAUGGACGAGAGUCUGAACCAGCCAAGUAGCGUGAAGGAUGACUGCCCUAUGGGUUGUAAACUUCUUUUAUACGGGAAUAAAGUGAGGCACGUGUGCCUUUUUGUAUGUACCGUAUGAAUAAGGAUCGGCUAACUCCGUGCCAGCAGCCGCGGUAAUACGGAGGAUCCGAGCGUUAUCCGGAUUUAUUGGGUUUAAAGGGAGCGUAGGCGGACGCUUAAGUCAGUUGUGAAAGUUUGCGGCUCAACCGUAAAAUUGCAGUUGAUACUGGGUGUCUUGAGUACAGUAGAGGCAGGCGGAAUUCGUGGUGUAGCGGUGAAAUGCUUAGAUAUCACGAAGAACUCCGAUUG
RNAcentral lists this ribosomal RNA (693 nucleotides) under uncultured Bacteroides sp. RNAcentral's name for it is "bacterial SSU rRNA". It matches the Rfam family "Bacterial small subunit ribosomal RNA", at positions 32 to 715 of the family's 1533-position model. Lineage: Bacteria; Pseudomonadati; Bacteroidota; Bacteroidia; Bacteroidales; Bacteroidaceae. The record is from RNAcentral.